RNAcentral lists this ribosomal RNA (1168 nucleotides) under Daphnia magna. RNAcentral's name for it is "eukaryotic LSU rRNA". It matches the Rfam family "Eukaryotic large subunit ribosomal RNA", at positions 42 to 954 of the family's 3401-position model. The record is from RNAcentral. Lineage: Eukaryota; Metazoa; Arthropoda; Branchiopoda; Diplostraca; Daphniidae.
AUCAGUAAGCGGAGGAAAAGAAACUAACAAGGAUUCCCUUAGUAGCGGCGAGCGAACAGGGAUGAGCCCAGCACCGAACCUCGCGCCCGGUUGAGCGGGUGCCGAGGAAUGUGGUGUUCGGGAGGAUCGUGCGCGCCUGUCCGGUAUAUAUCGUCCAAGUCUCCAUGAACGGGGCGAGCAACCCACAGAGGGUGUCAGGCCCGUAGCUUAGACGAGCCGAGACCGUGCAUCGGAUCCCUUCCCAAGAGUCGGGUUGCUUGAGCGUGCAGCCCUAAGCGGGAGGUAAACUCCUUCUAAGGCUAAAUAUCGCCACGAGACCGAUAGCGAACAAGUACCGCGAGGGAAAGUUGAAAAGAACUUUGAAGAGAGAGUUCAAGAGUGCGUGAAACCGUUCAGGGGGUUAAACGGGUGGGCCCUCGAAGGUCGAACGAGCCCCCGCUCCCGGCACUUGGUUGCAUGCCCUCUGCUGCGAAGAGACCGACUUGAUUUGGCGGCUCUGUUCGUUGGCGAGGACCGCAUUAGCCGCGCCAAGGUCCGCAAGUGGGGGGCCUAGUAGGACUCCGCGACCGACUGGGUGUCUGUUAUACGGGGCGUUCGUUAGCGAGUUUUGGGUUACCUCGUGUGCCCUCGACGAGCGCGGCGUCACUCAACAGUACUGCCCGGUCGUGACCUGUCUCCUCCCGGAUUGUCUACGUGUAUCUCGCUAGAGGCUUCGAUCUGGAGCUUCAGGGCUUGGCAUCACGUUGUAGAAAACCGCGGAGGCCCAGAGCGGAGAGUAGAAGUCGGGUCCCACCCGACCCGUCUUGAAACACGGACCAAGGAGUCUAACAUGUGCGCGAGUCGUCGAGUCUAUUACGAAACUCGCGAGGCGCAAUGAAAGUGAAGCGGCCCCGAUGAGGGUGCAUCCGCGAGGGGUGAUCCCGUCUCGAACAGAGCGGGCGCAACCCCUGGGCGUCCGAAUGCUCGCGAGGCCCCGGUCAAACGGUGUGCCGAGUCGGCCGGACGAACCAAGAGCGUACACGUUGGGACCCGAAAGAUGGUGACCUAUGCCUGGCCAGGACGAAGCCAGGGGAAACCCUGGUGGAGGUCCGCAGCGAUUCUGACGUGCAAAUCGAUCGUCGGAGUUGGGUAUAGGGGCGAAAGACUAAUCGAACCAUCUAGUAGCUGG